CCUACCACUAGCAGCUUUGCAGGUGUGGCUGCUGUAUCGCAUGUGUAUUGAUAGGCGGAAGCUAGUAGAGAGUCUCUGUCAAUACUCAAUGUUCUGCCCUGUGAGCAUCUGAAUGAUUAGUAGCCUAACAUA
Molecule: small nucleolar RNA, 132 nt
Organism: Apodemus sylvaticus (European woodmouse)
Lineage: Eukaryota; Metazoa; Chordata; Mammalia; Rodentia; Muridae
Product: small nucleolar RNA SNORA17
Exons: 1
Source: RefSeq, a predicted model, not a curated record